AGUGAACGCUGGCGGUAGGCCUAACACAUGCAAGUCGAACGGCAGCACAGUAAGAGCUUGCUCUUACGGGUGGCGAGUGGCGGACGGGUGAGGAAUACAUCGGAAUCUACUUUUUCGUGGGGGAUAACGUAGGGAAACUUACGCUAAUACCGCAUACGACCUACGGGUGAAAGCAGGGGCUCUUCGGACCUUGCGCGAUUGAAUGAGCCGAUGUCGGAUUAGCUAGUUGGCGGGGUAAAGGCCCACCAAGGCGACGAUCCGUAGCUGGUCUGAGAGGAUGAUCAGCCACACUGGAACUGAGACACGGUCCAGACUCCUACGGGAGGCAGCAGUGGGGAAUAUUGGACAAUGGGCGCAAGCCUGAUCCAGCCAUACCGCGUGGGUGAAGAAGGCCUUCGGGUUGUAAAGCCCUUUUGUUGGGAAAGAAAAGCAGCAUGUUAAUACCCCGCUGUUCUGACGGUACCCAAAGAAUAAGCACCGGCUAACUUCGUG
RNAcentral lists this ribosomal RNA (492 nucleotides) under uncultured bacterium. RNAcentral's name for it is "partial 16S ribosomal RNA". It matches the Rfam family "Bacterial small subunit ribosomal RNA", at positions 29 to 507 of the family's 1533-position model. The record is from RNAcentral.